GAGGUUUUUGUAGACAGAUUUCGCAUUUGUAGUGUUUUCUAUUAUGUUAAAUGUUGUUUUUGACAAGAUUGCCUGGGUAUCAUAGGAUGGAAUGAUCCUGACAUAUAUACGAGACAAAUAUUAAUUUUCCUGAUAUGAGAUAAUUCUCUAUAAGGGGAAGGCAUUAAAUCUACAAGUUCGAUCUUAACAUGAAUCAAUUUACAAGGUUGAAACACUAUAACUCUUUGUAUGUUCUUCAAAUAUGUGUCAAUUUUUCCACAUAAUAUUCACACAUUAGAUUAAUUUCAGCUAAAAAAUUUGCAACCCCGGUGGUACUCUUGACAUGGUUUAUUUAUGAACUCAAAAUCCAAACUUGUAGAUCGAAUUUUCAAACAGCACGGGGAGCACAAGGUUACUUUCCCGGAGGUUCACAAACACACCAACCUUCCCUUGGUUUCUGUCCCCCUAAGGCCAUCUUUUAACAUAUUCAAUGAAGUACUGGUUUUUGUAGUGUAUUCAUGGACACCAAAAACCAAUUCUUGAUGGCGAUUUUUCAUUGGUCUAAUAAUAUAUACAAACAAAUCUCUGCAAAUUAAAAUCUAUCAUCUAAAUCAAAAAAAAUUACUCGUAUGUAUCAAUAUGCACAGACUAAAAGAUCCAUUAAAAGUUUUUUUUUAUGUUACAUCGUACUUGUAAUCUCCAAUGACUCAUUUAAUUAAUCAAAUAUAAAUAUAUCUUUUUUCCUGAAUCAAUUAUGUCUUUUUAUUUAAAAUAAUCAAUCUAUCAGCCAUAUAACCGAAAUCCUUAAAAAGCAAUGCUAGUUUACCAACUAUCAGGUAUUAGAUCAAGUUGAAGAACUUUCUUAAAUUAAACGAUAGUUCCCACUAUCUUAUGCUUCCUAGAUUUUUAUCAAUAGUAAGGGUCCUUUUCCCUGACACCGUGUGUCAGGGAAUAUUUAACCAACACAUUGCUUCCCAGCUGUUGGAUCGUUAAUUCAAUGGUCGAGAUAAAAAGAAAAUUUUAAUUGAUCCGUUGGUUUUUUACACGGAUUGACUGACCGGACCUGCUUUCCGUGGUUAUUAUACGCGGUACGGGUAUCUAGAUCCGCUGAAAAGAAACACGGACGGACGGAUAUUAUCACUCAGAUUCAACCAUUGAUUUAUCAUCUUUUCGCUGAUUUAAGCGAACCCAGAUCAAAAAGAUUAAAGCUUUGAUUACAAACCUGUAAAUGAAGAUGUCUUUGUUAUCACCGAGUGCUUUUCUUUGAGUAAUACACAUGCCUUGAGAUGAAUUGGUUGGGUUGGUUAUGGUUGAUUUGGGUGGAGAUCCAGUAAAAUCAGCCUUCAUGUCAGCAAGAGAAACAAGACCAUCGUCUUCUUCAACGAAACAAGGCCUUCUUGAGGUUACAGUUAAGUCCAUUCGGCGAGAGAGACCGAGAAAGAGACGCCGGCGAGAGAGACCGAGAAAGAGAUGCCGGCGGGAAUGAGGGAAAGGACAGUUUAGAGAGUGGGGUUUAUCAGCACGUCCGCGUUUUUUUUCAGCGGAUCAAGAAACCUAUACCACGUAAAAUAACCACGGAAAGCAAGCCCAACCCACUCAAUCCGCGUAAAAA
RNAcentral lists this long non-coding RNA (1591 nucleotides) under Daucus carota (carrot). Its description in RNAcentral is "long non-coding RNA (DCAR_LNC002968)". Lineage: Eukaryota; Viridiplantae; Streptophyta; Magnoliopsida; Apiales; Apiaceae. The record is from RNAcentral.